CAAGAAAUAGUUUAAUUAGAACUUCAGUUUUGGGUGCUGAUGGUGAGACGGAUUGUCUCUUUCUUGA
RNAcentral lists this transfer RNA (67 nucleotides) under Tympanoctomys barrerae (plains viscacha rat). RNAcentral's name for it is "tRNA-Pro". The record is from RNAcentral. Lineage: Eukaryota; Metazoa; Chordata; Mammalia; Rodentia; Octodontidae.